RNAcentral lists this ribosomal RNA (712 nucleotides) under uncultured bacterium. RNAcentral describes it as "bacterial SSU rRNA". It matches the Rfam family "Bacterial small subunit ribosomal RNA", at positions 93 to 824 of the family's 1533-position model. The record is from RNAcentral.
GAGCGGCGGACGGGUGAGUAACGCGUGGGUAACCUGCCCUGUACACACGGAUAACAUACCGAAAGGUAUGCUAAUACGAGAUAAUAUGCUUUUAUCGCAUGGUAGAAGUAUCAAAGCUUUUGCGGUACAGGAUGGACCCGCGUCUGAUUAGCUAGUUGGUAAGGUAACGGCUUACCAAGGCGACGAUCAGUAGCCGACCUGAGAGGGUGAUCGGCCACAUUGGAACUGAGACACGGUCCAAACUCCUACGGGAGGCAGCAGUGGGGAAUAUUGCACAAUGGGCGAAAGCCUGAUGCAGCAACGCCGCGUGAGCGAUGAAGGCCUUCGGGUCGUAAAGCUCUGUCCUCAAGGAAGAUAAUGACGGUACUUGAGGAGGAAGCCCCGGCUAACUACGUGCCAGCAGCCGCGGUAAUACGUAGGGGGCUAGCGUUAUCCGGAAUUACUGGGCGUAAAGGGUGCGUAGGUGGUUUCUUAAGUCAGAGGUGAAAGGCUACGGCUCAACCGUAGUAAGCCUUUGAAACUGGGAAACUUGAGUGCAGGAGAGGAGAGUGGAAUUCCUAGUGUAGCGGUGAAAUGCGUAGAUAUUAGGAGGAACACCAGUUGCGAAGGCGGCUCUCUGGACUGUAACUGACACUGAGGCACGAAAGCGUGGGGAGCAAACAGGAUUAGAUACCCUGGUAGUCCAUGCCGUANNCGAUGAGUACUAGCUGUC